GAUGAACGCUGGCGGCGUGCCUAAUACAUGCGAGUCGAGCGAACAGAUGAGGAGCUUGCUCCUCUGACGUUAGCGGCGGACGGGUGAGUAACACGUGGAUAACCUACCUAUAAGACUGGGAUAACUUCGGGAAACCGGAGCUAAUACCGGAUAAUAUAUUGAACCGCAUGGUUCAAUAGUGAAAGACGGUUUUGCUGUCACUUAUAGAUGGAUCCGCGCCGCAUUAGCUAGUUGGUAAGGUAACGGCUUACCAAGGCAACGAUGCGUAGCCGACCUGAGAGGGGGAUCGGCCACACUGGAGCUGAGACACGGUCCAGACUCCUACGGGAGGCAGCAGUAGGGAAUCUUCCGCAAUGGGCGAAAGCCUGACGGAGCAACGCCACGUGAGUGAUGAAGGUCUUCGGAUCGUAAAACUCUGUUAUUAGGGGAGAACAAAUGUGUAAGUAACUAUGCACGUCUUGACGGUACCUAAUCAGAAAGCCACGGCUAACUACGUG
This 497-nucleotide ribosomal RNA is filed under the name uncultured bacterium. Its description in RNAcentral is "partial 16S ribosomal RNA". It matches the Rfam family "Bacterial small subunit ribosomal RNA", at positions 28 to 507 of the family's 1533-position model. The record is from RNAcentral.